Molecule: unclassified non-coding RNA, 306 nt
Filed under: plant metagenome
Description: partial contains 5.8S ribosomal RNA, internal transcribed spacer 2, and large subunit ribosomal RNA
Rfam family: 5.8S ribosomal RNA (bases 1-105)
Source: RNAcentral
GAAAUGCGAUACUUGGUGUGAAUUGCAGAAUCCCGUGAAUCAUCGAAUCUUUGAACGCACAUUGCGCCCGCCAGUAUUCUGGCGGGCAUGCCUGUCCGAGCGUCAUUUCAACCAUCAAGCCCCCGGGCUUGUGUUGGGGACCUGCGGCUGCCCGCAGGCCCUGAAAACCAGUGGCGGGCUCGCUGUCACACCGAGCGUAGUAGCAAUCACCUCGCUCAGGGCGUGCUGCGGGUUCCGGCCGUUAAACAGCCUUACAAAACCCAAGGUUGACCUCGGAUCAGGUAGGAAGACCCGCUGAACUUAAGC